CACUGCUCUGACGGAUGCUUUUAUUAGACCAAGCCGCUGAGGACUUGAGGGCUUGCUCUCCUGUCUGACUCGUGUAAUGGUGACUCUGGAUAACCAAAUUUCUGACAAGCGCACGUACUUCUCUUCUGAGCGAGACGGCGCUGCCACUUUCGAGUGUCUGCCUUAUCAGCUAUCAACCGUUCGUUAUGCGCGACCGAUGGCUUUGACGGGUAACGGGGAAUCAGGGUUCGAUUCCGGAGAGGCAGCCUGAGAGACGGCUACCACGUCCAAGGACGGCAGCAGGCACGCAAAUUACCCAAUCCCAGCAAAUGGGGGAGGUAGUGACGAAAUCUAACGAUGCGGGCGCCCUUUCUGGGGCCCCGCAAUCGGAAUGGGCACUUUCUAAACAACCUGUUGAGAACCUACUGAAGGGCAAGUCUGGUGCCAGCAGCCGCGGUAAUUCCAGCUUCAGCAGCAUCUAUUAAAGUUGCUGCGGUUAAAAGGCUCGCAGUUGAAUGUCUGUAUCGAGCGCAGGUCAGGUGGACGUUGGGGCGUGGAAGUACGGGCAGUUGGAUGUCCGGAGGGCCUUCGUGCUCAACGGCUCCUUCGGCUUUUCCACACACCCCCGUCCGUGACAAGCCUCCUCGCUCGGGUACAUAACGGGAAUCGGUCAAACGGAGUGUGGUCGGGGGUUGGGGCGCGUGGCCUCGGUUGCGUGUCUCUUCUUUCGGCUGCGUUAAGCUCCAUCGGUUUCACGGUCACCUUGAGUAAAUCAGAGUGCUCAAAGCAGUCGUAGGGGCCUUGCGCCCUGUGAACAGUCUUGACGGACUGACUUGGUUUUGCAUGGCAUGUCGGAAGACGACGUCGUGUGCUGGCUCAGAGGAUAAAUCAGUGGUACAAGCCAGCCUCGACGUAAUGAUUAAAAGGGACGGUCGAGGGCAUUGGUAUUGCGAGGCGAGAGGUGAAAUUCUGUGACCCCCGCAAGACCUCCUGAAGCGAAAGCGUCUGCCAAGGACGUUUUCAUUAAUCAUGAACGAAAGUUAGAGGAUCGAAGGCGAUCAGAUACCGCCCUAGUUCUAACCCUAAACGAUGCCAACCAUCAAUCCGCGCGUAGCACCCUUCUUAACGGGCUCGGCGGGCAGCUCCCCACUCACGGGAAACCAGAGCCUCUGGGUUCCGGGGGGAGUCUGGUUGCAAAGCUGAAACUUAAAGGAAUUGACGGAAAGGCACCACCAGGCGUGGAGCCUGCGGCUUAAUUUGACUCAACACGGGCCAUCUCACCAGGCCAGCACUCUUGUACGAUUGACAGAUGAG
Molecule: ribosomal RNA, 1293 nt
Filed under: Gammarus nekkensis
Lineage: Eukaryota; Metazoa; Arthropoda; Malacostraca; Amphipoda; Gammaridae
Description: SSU rRNA
Rfam family: Eukaryotic small subunit ribosomal RNA
Source: RNAcentral